This 478-nucleotide ribosomal RNA is filed under the name uncultured bacterium. RNAcentral describes it as "partial 16S ribosomal RNA". It matches the Rfam family "Bacterial small subunit ribosomal RNA", at positions 28 to 507 of the family's 1533-position model. The record is from RNAcentral.
GAUGAACGCUGGCGGCGUGCUUAACACAUGCAAGUCGAACGAGAAGUGAAGACGGAAACCUUCGGGCGGAAGGCUUUAUUUCGAGUGGCGGACGGGUGAGUAACGCGUGGGUAACCUGCCUCAUACAGGGGGAUAACAGUUGGAAACGACUGUUAAUACCGCAUAAGACCACAGCACCGCAUGGUGCGGGGGUAAAAACUCCGGUGGUAUGAGAUGGACCCGCGUUCGAUUAGCCAGUUGGCGGGGUAACGGCCCACCAAAGCGACGAUCGAUAGCCGAUCUGAGAGGAUGACCGGCCACAUUGGGACUGAGACACGGCCCAAACUCCUACGGGAGGCAGCAGUGGGGAAUAUUGCACAAUGGGGGAAGCCCUGAUGCAGCGACGCCGCGUGAGUGAAGAAGUAUUUCGGUAUGUAAAGCUCUAUCAGCAGGGAAGAAAAUGACGGUACCUGAGUAAGAAGCCCCGGCUAACUACGUG